Molecule: transfer RNA, 73 nt
Filed under: Bacteroidales bacterium
Lineage: Bacteria; Pseudomonadati; Bacteroidota; Bacteroidia; Bacteroidales
Also listed under: 2 other names
Description: tRNA-Lys
Rfam family: tRNA
About the family: Transfer RNA (tRNA) molecules are approximately 80 nucleotides in length.
Source: RNAcentral
CUCUCCGUAGCUCAGUUGGCAGAGCAGCUGACUCUUAAUCAGCGGGUCGCAGGUUCGAGCCCUGCCGGGGAGA